This is a non-coding RNA of Paramuricea clavata, 967 nucleotides long. The record is from the annotation of a GenBank genome assembly. NCBI's taxonomy places the organism in Eukaryota, Metazoa, Cnidaria, Anthozoa, Malacalcyonacea, Plexauridae.
GGACGACACAAGGUUGUAACAAUAUUGUUAUAUCAUAUUGUUAUAUCUAUGUGAACAAGCUGGGAACAAGCAAUGCGAACACAUCCUGUUGACAAGUUGUUGGAAUAGCAUUGCUACAAGUCUGCUGCAGGUUUGUUACAACUUGUGCGUUUUUACGUGUGUCAGUGCGUCCAUCUGAGCUCGGGAAGACGACAUCUCGCCUCGUUCAAGUGGUUCCCAUGUGAAUCAAAUUUCGAAAACAUAUAAAAACAACAUUGCGAGUCAGGUCAGCUUAUAUGAACAGGCCCUUGGUUCAAGUCAUUCGCAAGCGCGCCAAUUAAAAUUUACCAUCGGAUUUUUCCUACCGAGGCUUGGCUUGCGACUUGACAACAACAACAAAUUUUCCGUCAAUUUUGGCAAGUAACAUUCCUGAAGGGAGAGACUCGGGACAUUUGCGCUUACCCAUUUCCCAAGAUACUCUCCUCUUGAAACAGACUUGAACCACGCCUACACACGUAAAAACGCACAAGUUGUAACAAACCUGCAGCGGACUUGUAGCAAUGCUGUUCCAACAACUUGUCAACAGGAUGUGUUCGCACUGCUUGUUCCCAGCUUGUUGACAACUUGCUACAAGGUUGUUGAGCUCAACAGAGUUGUUACAAGUUGUUCCAACAACUUGUUAUCGUCCUGCAAUUCAACAAUUCGUCAACAAGUUGUGAGUGACAACCUUGUAGCAACUUGAUAAAAUAACAGCAUGGUUACAACUUGUUGACAAGCUUGCUACAAGCCUGUUGCGAAUACAUCUUGUUGACAAGUUGCGAGAUUUUUACCGCGUGUGUAAUUCAGCCCUUGACGUGAUCGCAUUCAAUGGAGGGCUAUACAGCCCACGUGUACACACGAAAAAGCGCACAAGUUGUUAGAGGUCUGCAAAAACGUUGUACAAUCUGUUCUUAAGCUGUCAACAAGUCGUGUUUGCACUGCUUGUUCC